RNAcentral lists this transfer RNA (72 nucleotides) under Marmota monax (woodchuck). It matches the Rfam family "tRNA". Rfam says of the family: Transfer RNA (tRNA) molecules are approximately 80 nucleotides in length. Their secondary structure includes four short double-helical elements and three loops (D, anti-codon, and T loops). Further hydrogen bonds mediate the characteristic L-shaped molecular structure. tRNAs have two regions of fundamental functional importance: the anti-codon, which is responsible for specific mRNA codon recognition, and the 3' end, to which the tRNAs corresponding amino acid is attached (by aminoacyl-tRNA synthetases). tRNAs cope with the degeneracy of the genetic code in two manners: having more than one tRNA (with a specific anti-codon) for a particular amino acid; and 'wobble' base-pairing, i.e. permitting non-standard base-pairing at the 3rd anti-codon position. RNAcentral also lists the same sequence under 1 other name. The record is from Rfam by way of RNAcentral. Lineage: Eukaryota; Metazoa; Chordata; Mammalia; Rodentia; Sciuridae.
GGGUAUGUAGCUCAGUGGUACAGCACAUACUUAGCAUGUGUGAGACCCUGGGUUCAAUCCCUAGCACUGUUA